Molecule: non-coding RNA, 106 nt
Organism: Psilocybe cubensis
Lineage: Eukaryota; Fungi; Basidiomycota; Agaricomycetes; Agaricales; Agrocybaceae
Source: the annotation of a RefSeq genome assembly
GGCGCUAUAGCUAAGUGGUUAAAGCGACAGAUUAGAAUAAAACAAUCCCAUUAUCCUGAUUAUCUGUUCCUCUUUGAGGGCGCAGGUUCAAAUCCUGCUGGCGUCG